Small nucleolar RNA from Dipodomys ordii (Ord's kangaroo rat), 137 nucleotides. The record is from Ensembl. NCBI's taxonomy places the organism in Eukaryota, Metazoa, Chordata, Mammalia, Rodentia, Heteromyidae.
AGCACUAUAUUUAAACCUAUGAUUGGAUUUUCCAGAUUUUUGGUUAUGCUGUAGUACAAAAGAAUUCCUUGCUCUUUGUGUUGCACAGCUGACACAUGGCAUUCAGUUGUUGCUGUACAGAGUCAACAUGAAAAAAA